This is a long non-coding RNA of Callithrix jacchus (white-tufted-ear marmoset), 2082 nucleotides long. RefSeq lists it as uncharacterized. The record is from RefSeq and is a predicted model, not a curated record. Lineage: Eukaryota; Metazoa; Chordata; Mammalia; Primates; Cebidae.
AUAGAUGACCUGGAAGAACGCCCAGGAGGUGGCUCCCCCUCAGCCCCUGCUUGAGAGGCUUGCUCCCACCUCGGGGAAGCAGGGCUCCUCCCAAGGCUUUGUUCACAAUGGAGGCUUACAGCAAGAGCCACCAGCACGGCAUGCUCAACGAUGCAUGCACUAAGUGGAAGAAUUUCCUGGCCAUGCAUCCCAACUCUGGCCCCAGCUGCACGCUGUCCAGGAAAAGGAGGAACCCAGGUGGUCCAAGGAAGAAGGAACAGAAACAGGAAGUCGUGGCAGGACUCAGGGGAGGGACGUUAGCAGGGCCAUUUGGCCGAGAGCCUCAAGGUUGAGGAGCCUCAAGUUUUGGCUGCUGUUCAAUGACAAGUCUGUGCAGAGGAACACAGUGAGGCUUUCUUACAAAUGCAGACUUUGACCUUGAGCAAUGUGGUUUUCCCGGAGGCAUGCACUAGCCAUUACAGAAGAUGUUGCCAUGGUGACUUAUGAGUGCCCGCUGCUUGUGAGAGGGAGGAGCUCAGGCUGUGUCCUUCUGGAAGAGAGAGUUUUGUCGUGUUGAAACUCCUCCUACACAUUUGGUGGCCUCUCUCCAAGAUGGCACUUUGAGAUAUGAAAAGACUGUGUGUGUGUGCUCCUUGCAGACGCUCCUUUAGGGAAAGAGUUUUGUCUGCUUCAUCCAUCCCUGCUGCUCAGGACCCAGGAGAGAGCGGAGCAACGAUGCUGCAUUGACUGUCGCCAAGUAUAAGCUGAGGCAGGAAUCCAGGCUGCAGAGGGCAGUCAGUGGAUGGGAGCUGGCCUCAGGAUGUCUUCUGUAUCUGAUGACCUUCACCUCUGUCAGCUGCUUUAGGACUUCAGAAUCCCUCCAGUGCUGAAAAAGCCAAGACUUAAGUCAUUUCCUCUUGGUUACUUAAACCUUAUGUGUCAAACAGUGACCCAACAGGAGAAAAGAGGACAUGCUCAGAUGAGGACUGAAAGCUUCUGAAGAGAGACUAUUUGUAUCUUCACUUAGCACAAGACCGAGACAUAGCUGAAGCUCAAGAAAUGUAUUCAUUAACUCAUUCAUUAAAAAUAAUUGUUAGUGUGUGUUGCUUGUGAAAGGGUGGGCUGAGUGCUGGGAUGUAACAGUGCAAGGGACAGACGUAAUCCCUGCUUUCUGGCAACUCGGAUGAGGAACAAAUUAACUAAAUGUGAGAAGUAGAAAAGUUCCUCUUUUUUUUUUUUUGCCAAUCAGUGUGAGUUUGUAAGGUUACUCAGGUUAGCCUUGAACUCAUGACCUCGCCUUCGCAAGCACCACGACAUCCGGCGGGAGUCACUUUGGACCCCGAAAAGUUCCUCUUUACACUUUCCUUUCUUGUUAAAGAAUAAGUGUGCUGUUAACUCUUUGUUAAGCCCUAUCCUGUGUAGCUGUUAGAAUGCCAUGUUUACAGGCAUGUAGUAUAUUCUACGUCCUUGUACUUAGGUAUCUGUGCUGGACGUGCUCGCAGGCAUGUCCCAGCUCUCCAUUGCUUUUACCUGUUUAGAAAAGUUUUGGUCAGGUGCGGUGGCUCACACCUGUAAUCUCAGCACUUUGGGAGGCCAAGGUGGGCUGAUCACUAGGUCAGGAGUUCAAGACCAGCCUGACCAACAUGGGGAAACCUCGUCUCUACUAAAAAUACAAAAAAUUAGCCGGGUGUGGUGGCGCAUGCUUAUAAUCCCAACUACUUGGGAGGCUGAGACAGGAGAAUCACUUGAACCCGGGAGGCAUAGGUUGCAGUGAGCCAAGGUCUUGCCAUUACACUCCAGCCUGGGCAACAAGAGCAAAACUCCAUCUCAAAAAAGAAAAGUUUUAAGUUGGUAGCCAAUCAGGUUUUAGUAUAGAUUGUGAGGUCUGGCUCCAGCCAAUGGAGAUCAGACACAGCAGUAAGAACAACCCCAAACGCAUAAGGGAUAAAUAUGUCUGUUUUCCUUUGUUCAUUGUACUCUUGUGGCAAAAUGACUAGUGAGGGUACCCUUCCUGAAGUCCAGGAAGUAAAAAUUGUGUUGCUGAAAGAUCCUUUGUCUCAGUGCUAAUUUUUCUCUGCAGCACCAAGCAUCUGUUUCCAACAC